This 224-nucleotide unclassified non-coding RNA is filed under the name plant metagenome. RNAcentral's name for it is "partial contains small subunit ribosomal RNA, internal transcribed spacer 1, and 5.8S ribosomal RNA". The record is from RNAcentral.
UCUCCGUUGGUGAACCAGCGGAGGGAUCAUUACAGGACUCGCAAGACACCUACAACCCUGUGAACUUAACUAUAAGCACGUUGCUUCGGCGGGUGUCUCGGAGGGGGUUCUCCCUCCCCGAGACGCUAAACCCGCCGGCAGCCUACUAUACUCUGUCUCUUUGCGUUGGCAUCUCGAGUACAAUCAAACAAGUUAAAACUUUCAACAACGGAUCUCUUGGUUCU